UGGCAGCGCAGGUCCAGCAGCGUGGGCCCCAGGAAGGCGAUGCACAGGCCGAAGCUGAAGAAGACACUCCAGUAGGGCUCACGUGAACAUUCAUUCUGCCAGGAGUCUCUGACCACCAGAACUGCCCCAGGUUCUGACCUUGUAUUCCAUCCACACCUUGAAAGAAGGAGGAAGGGCCCAACAUUGCCAAAGAGAUUUCUCUGAGAUACUAAUUGAUACGAAUUAUUUUAAGCUUCGCAAACCGAUGCAGGAUUGGUACCUGUAGUUCCAGCUCAUCAGGACGCUAAGGCAGAAGGAUCACUUAAGCCCUGAAUUUCAAGUCCAACCUGGCAACAUAAGUAAGAACUCAUUUCAAAUGAAAUAAAAAUGUAAUAGAAAACAAUGUUUUUUCUGCAGCCAAUUAAACCCAUGAAGCUCCUGUCCUCAUAAAGACCAGUGUACAAAGAGAGCUUGCCUGACUGGUCACCGUAUGGUUUCCCUAGGUGACCUCCAGGCAGCGCAGUGCCGCUGACACCCACACCUGGGAUUCCUGCUGCUCGAGCUACUGUGCUGUGUGAAGUCGCAGGGCAAGGAGGCCAGGGCCAAGGACGCCAAGGUUCACCCUGGCCAGCGCAUCAGGUCCGUCCUGCGGAGCAAGGGAGCAGCACCAACAGCCGUGGAACAAGACGCGCGUGAUUAAGGCUCUGUACACAGCCCAGUUCAAGAUCCCUGGCAGCUCAGAGGUCCACAGCUUUAAAAAAAAAUGGGACUUCCCAAGUUUUGUUUUGUUUUG
This is a long non-coding RNA of Octodon degus (degu), 772 nucleotides long. RefSeq lists it as uncharacterized. NCBI's taxonomy places the organism in Eukaryota, Metazoa, Chordata, Mammalia, Rodentia, Octodontidae. The transcript is spliced from 3 exons. The record is from RefSeq and is a predicted model, not a curated record.